Small nuclear RNA from Cynocephalus volans (Philippine flying lemur), 129 nucleotides. Lineage: Eukaryota; Metazoa; Chordata; Mammalia; Dermoptera; Cynocephalidae. The record is from RefSeq and is a predicted model, not a curated record.
UCCUUCUAUGAAAGCAGAGGUUAGUGCUCUCCCUGACAAGAAUGGAAGACACCCUAAUGACCCACACAACACAUAUUUGGUUAAAGCACUAGCCCCCAUGUUCAGGGGGAAAAAAAAACAACAUACUUU